This 253-nucleotide ribosomal RNA is filed under the name uncultured bacterium. RNAcentral's name for it is "partial 16S ribosomal RNA". It matches the Rfam family "Bacterial small subunit ribosomal RNA", at positions 524 to 776 of the family's 1533-position model. The record is from RNAcentral.
UACGUAGGGGGCUAGCGUUGUCCGGAAUCACUGGGCGUAAAGGGUGCGUAGGCGGGUCUUUAAGUCAGGGGUGAAAUCCUGGAGCUCAACUCCAGAACUGCCUUUGAUACUGAGGAUCUUGAGUCCGGGAGAGGUGAGUGGAACUGCGAGUGUAGAGGUGAAAUUCGUAGAUAUUCGCAAGAACACCAGUGGCGAAGGCGGCUCACUGGCCCGGUACUGACGCUGAGGCACGAAAGCGUGGGGAGCAAACAGG